Molecule: ribosomal RNA, 822 nt
Filed under: uncultured bacterium
Lineage: Bacteria
Description: bacterial SSU rRNA
Rfam family: Bacterial small subunit ribosomal RNA
Source: RNAcentral
AGAGUUUGAUCAUGGCUCAGGACGAACGCUGGCGGCGUGCUUAACACAUGCAAGUCGAACGGAAAGGCCCUGCUUUUGUGGGGUGCUCGAGUGGCGAACGGGUGAGUAACACGUGAGUAACCUGCCCUUGACUUUGGGAUAACUUCAGGAAACUGGGGCUAAUACCGGAUAGGAGCUCCUGCUGCAUGGUGGGGGUUGGAAAGUUUCGGCGGUUGGGGAUGGACUCGCGGCUUAUCAGCUUGUUGGUGGGGUAGUGGCUUACCAAGGCUUUGACGGGUAGCCGGCCUGAGAGGGUGACCGGCCACAUUGGGACUGAGAUACGGCCCAGACUCCUACGGGAGGCAGCAGUGGGGAAUAUUGCACAAUGGGCGGAAGCCUGAUGCAGCAACGCCGCGUGCGGGAUGACGGCCUUCGGGUUGUAAACCGCUUUCGCCUGUGACGAAGCGUGAGUGACGGUAAUGGGUAAAGAAGCACCGGCUAACUACGUGCCAGCAGCCGCGGUGAUACGUAGGGUGCGAGCGUUGUCCGGAUUUAUUGGGCGUAAAGGGCUCGUAGGUGGUUGAUCGCGUCGGAAGUGUAAUCUUGGGGGCUUAACCCUGAGCGUGCUUUCGAUACGGGUUGACUUGAGGAAGGUAGGGGAGAAUGGAAAUUCCUGGUGGAGCGGUGGAAUGCGCAGAUAUCAGGAGGAACACCAGUGGCGAAGGCGGUUCUCUGGGCCUUUCCUGACGCUGAGGAGCGAAAGCGUGGGGAGCGAACAGGCUUAGAUACCCUGGUAGUCCACGCUAUAAACGGUGGGUACUAGGUGUGGGGUCCAUUCCACGG